UUCGUCGGUCCGGCACAUUGUGCGGGUACUUGAUGGACUCGUCCAUCCUUGGGUGGAAUCUGUGUGGCAUUAAGUUGUCGUGCAGGGGAUGCCCAUCGUUUACUGUGAAAAAAUUAGAGUGUUCAAAGCAGGCUUAUGCCGUUGAAUAUAUUAGCAUGGAAUAAUGAGAUAGGACCUUGGUACUAUUUUGUUGGUUUGCGCACCGAGGUAAUGAUUAAUAGGGACAGUUGGGGGUAUUCGUAUUCCAUUGUCAGAGGUGAAAUUCUUGGAUUUUUGGAAGACGAACUACUGCGAAAGCAUUUACCAAGGAUGUUUUCAUUAAU
RNAcentral lists this ribosomal RNA (323 nucleotides) under Fragilariales sp. RCC5556. Its description in RNAcentral is "SSU rRNA". It matches the Rfam family "Eukaryotic small subunit ribosomal RNA", at positions 651 to 977 of the family's 1831-position model. Lineage: Eukaryota; Bacillariophyta; Fragilariophyceae; Fragilariales. The record is from RNAcentral.